CAGGGCGUCAUAGAGGGUGAGAAUCCCGUACGUGGCCGGCGGUCAAUUCCGUGUGAAACCCCUUCGACGAGUCGAGUUGUUUGGGAAUGCAGCUCAAAAUGGGUGGUAAAUUUCAUCUAAAGCUAAAUACCGGCCAGAGACCGAUAGCGCACAAGUAGAGUGAUCGAAAGAUGAAAAGCACUUUGGAAAGAGAGUUAAAAAGUACGUGAAAUUGUUGAAAGGGAAGCGCUUGCAACCAGACUUGCUCGCGGGUGAUCAGCCUCCCUUUGGGGGGGUGCACUCACCCGUGGUCAGGCCAGCAUCGGUUUUGGCGGGUGGAUAAAGUCCCCGGGAAUGUGGCUCCCCUCGGGGAGUGUUAUAGCCUGGGGCGCAAUGCGCCCAGCCGGGACCGAGGACCGCGCUUCGGCUAGGAUGCUGGCGUAAUGGUUGUAAGCGACCCGUCUUGAAACACGGACCAAGGAGUCUAACGUCUAUGCGAGUGUUUGGGUGUCAAGCCCAUGCGCGGAAUGAAAGUGAACGCAGGUGGGAGCCCUCCCGGGGGCGCACCAUCGACCGAUCCUGAUGUCUUCGGAUGGAUUUGAGUAGGAGCAUGGCUGUUGGGACCCGAAAGAUGGUGAACUAUGCCUGAAUAGGGUGAAGCCAGAGGAAACUCUGGUGGAGGCUCGCAGCGGUUCUGACGUGCAAAUCGAUCGUCAAAUUUGGGUAUAGGGGCGAAAGACUAAUCGAACCAUCUAGUGACCAUCACUACUAGAGACACCAACCGGAGGGCCAAGCGAGGCUCCAGUAGUCCCUGUGUAUGGGGCGACAUUGCCGGUCUCCGGGGACGUCUUCUGGACUACCCGGACUGAGCUCAGGCUCAGUCACAGACUAAGUGGCGGUGGCCGCGGGUGCCCGCGGUUAGGAUAUAGUCGGCGGGCCCUGACGGGCG
This 928-nucleotide ribosomal RNA is filed under the name Teuvoa aff. uxoris Sohrabi 9507B. Its description in RNAcentral is "eukaryotic LSU rRNA". It matches the Rfam family "Eukaryotic large subunit ribosomal RNA", at positions 196 to 1437 of the family's 3401-position model. The record is from RNAcentral. Lineage: Eukaryota; Fungi; Ascomycota; Lecanoromycetes; Pertusariales; Megasporaceae.